GAGAGAGAGGCGUGGAAAGAGUGAGAGGAAGAGAGAGAAGCGGGCAGCGUGUUUAGGGUAAAUGAUGAUUUGGUCGACUUGAGGUAGUAAAGGGCAUAUUUAUAUCUCUUAUUUAUCGUCCGUCUGUUGGACGGUAAUUUCAUUCGACGGACGCUAAUUAGCGUUCGUUUAAAAGAACAGACGCUAAAUUUCAGAAAGCGGACGCUACUUUGCGUUUGUCAUAUAUCGGACGCUAAUUGUGAAUUUACCGUCCGCUUAUACUGUCGAACGCUAAAUUCAGACGCCAAAAAGGCGGAUUCUUGUUGUGUCUCUGAUUUGCUUCUGUCUCUCUCUCUCUCUCCCCCUCUCUCUCUCCUUCACUCAAAUCUUAUUUCUCCCUCCCCGUGUCUCUGAAACCCCAGAACUCCAAAAGUAAAAACCCCAAAAACCCCGUGAAGCAUCUUGGUUCUGCCGGAUUUUUACCGCUGCUGUCAUGCUGCUGUUGCUUAGUCUCGCCGGAACCGCGCUGGCUUCGUCGAAUCUUCGAUUUGAAAUAAUUUGGCUUCGAAGGAAAAAAAGCGUGGUGAAGCUUCGAAGGAAAAAGCUUAUAGAUCUGAAAUAAUUUGGCUUUCUUCGACGUUCUCCAUCUCUAACAGAUCUGAAAGUGACUGAAAUACUUUGGCUUUCUUUCCCAUUCUCCAUCUCCAACAGAAGAGGGCGACUAUUGACGAUGAAGAUUGAAGAAUGUUUUUUAUUUUUUUGGAUCUAUGUAAAAGUUGUAAUAAAUUGUAAAUUUUAAUGUUUGGAUAUUAAAUUUUAGGGUAUUUUGUGUGUUAGAUCUAAUUUUUUUUUGUUUCAAAUUGUAUAGUAAUAAAACGGUUUCAAAUUGUGUGUUAGAUCUAAAUUUUUUGUUUUCAAAUUGUAAAAGUUGUUGUUCUUCUCUUUAUUUCUUUCUUUUGGCCUAUAACAAAACCAAUCGCACAGAGAUUGUUCAAUCUGGAAUUUUAGUUCCAAAAAUAAUUUUUUUUUAUUAAAAUAGUAAUUUGCGUCGCACAUAGCCUGUUGUGCGACGCAAAUCACUAAUGUGCGUCGCACCCUUGGCAAUGUGCGACGCACAUUAUCUCUGCAUUACUCUGAAUUGGGCUGGGAUAGCCAUUUGUGUCGCACCGUAUACGAGCGAGGUGCGAUGCAAAUAGGUGAAAAUGUGCGUCGGAUCUGCAUUCGACGCAGACCAUUGAUAGUCAUUUGCGUCGAGGCCUGUGGCGUCAGACCCAUGUCCGACGCAAAUAGGCGCCUCACAUCCGACGCAAAUUGCCUAUUCUGUACUAGUGACGGUGUCAAGUUUCCAUUAGUCAUUAACCCUAAUUAAAUCCUCAUUCUAACCCUAGUUAAACCCUAAUCCUAAUCCUAAUUCUAAAACCUACCCCUAACCUUAACCUUGAACUCUAACCCUAACCCUCCCACCACCCU
Long non-coding RNA from Beta vulgaris subsp. vulgaris (sugar beet), 1449 nucleotides. RefSeq lists it as uncharacterized. The transcript is spliced from 3 exons. The record is from RefSeq and is a predicted model, not a curated record. Lineage: Eukaryota; Viridiplantae; Streptophyta; Magnoliopsida; Caryophyllales; Amaranthaceae.